UACGGAGGGUGCAAGCGUUAAUCGGAAUUACUGGGCGUAAAGCGUGCGUAGACGGUCAUGUAAGUCGGGUGUGAAAGCCCCGGGCUCAACCUGGGAAUUGCAUUCGAGACUGCGUGGCUAGGGUGCGGAAGAGGGAAGCGGAAUUUCCGGUGUAGCGGUGAAAUGCGUAGAUAUCUGGAGGAACACCGGUGGCGAAGGCGGCAUCCUGGACCGGCAUUGACGCUGAGGCGCGAAAGCCAGGGGAGCAAACGGG
This 253-nucleotide ribosomal RNA is filed under the name uncultured bacterium. Its description in RNAcentral is "partial 16S ribosomal RNA". It matches the Rfam family "Bacterial small subunit ribosomal RNA", at positions 524 to 776 of the family's 1533-position model. The record is from RNAcentral.